CCUACGGGUGGCAGCAGUGAGGAAUAUUGGUCAAUGGGCGAGAGCCUGAACCAGCCAAGUAGCGUGAAGGAUGACUGCCCUACGGGUUGUAAACUUCUUUUAUAAGGGAAUAAAGUGAGGCACGUGUGCCUUUUUGUAUGUACUUUAUGAAUAAGGAUCGGCUAACUCCGUGCCAGCAGCCGCGGUAAUACGGAGGAUGCGAGCGUUAUCCGGAUUUAUUGGGUUUAAAGGGAGCGUAGAUGGGUUGUUAAGUCAGUUGUGAAAGUUUGCGGCUCAACCGUAAAAUUGCAAUUGAUACUGGCUGUCUUGAGUACAGUUGAGGUAGGCGGAAUUCGUGGUGUAGCGGUGAAAUGCAUAGAUAUCACGAAGAACUCCGAUUGCGAAGGCAGCUUACUAAACUGCCACUGACAUUGAUGCUCGAAAGCGUGGGUAUCAAACAGGAUUAGAUACCCGAGUAGUC
This 460-nucleotide ribosomal RNA is filed under the name uncultured bacterium. RNAcentral describes it as "partial 16S ribosomal RNA". It matches the Rfam family "Bacterial small subunit ribosomal RNA", at positions 338 to 795 of the family's 1533-position model. The record is from RNAcentral.